AAGGAAUUGUUUUUUUUUUCUUUCUUCUCUCUUCUUGCUCGAUCCUCUCUCUUCUAUGUCGAUCCAGACGGCGAAUCGAAGGCGAUUCAGAAAAAUCAAUCCAUAGUUCCAGACCCAAUUCAUCUUUGAGCUUUGUCAUCCAUUCCUUCAAAUUCUUCAUCGGAAUAUCCACUCCGAUCUAAAAACCGCCUUUCAUCUUCUUCUUCGCGUUGCCCUCUCUCGUCGUCGGCGGCAGAUUAAAAUCGCCCUUCAAUUCUACAGUUGCAAGAACAUGCUCUUUCAAAACCAAAUUCGAGCCUUCUCACAACUAAAUUUUGUUCCUUUAUUGAUUCUCUGAAAUCAGUCUCUGUUAUUUUUGUACUUUUUGCUUUCCAAUGAUGGGAAGAGUAGACAAUUUGCUUUUAUUUGAUAUCGUAGUGCUGAAGAAGCUCAAGAAGCUAUCAAGUAUUUCAACAAGUCUUUUCUUGAUACUUCUCGUAUAUAUGUGAUGAUGUUUAAAGCUGGUCGCCUUUUCGUGAUGAUGACAAUGAUGAUGUUCUUGACACUGAUCGCCUUUUCGUCCGUAACCUGCCUUACAUUGCAACAGAAGAAGAGCUUAUGGAACAUUUAAGCAAAUUUGGUGAGAUAUCAGAAGUCCAUCUUGUUCUUGACAAGGAGACGAAAAGGUCCAAAGGAAUUGCCUACAUCCUUUACCCGAUUCCGGAAUGUGCGGCAAGGGCAAUGGAGGAAUUAGAUAACUCAAUUUUCCAGGGCCGGUUGUUGCAUAUUUUUCCAGCCAAGCACCGUGAAACGUCUGAUAAACAAGUGAAUGACACUUCUAACCUGCCAAAAACAUUCAAGCAAAAGAGAGAGGAACAAAAUAAUAUAUUAUACUCACGAGAAAAAAAAUAAUUGUUGAAUAUACCUACUUAAGAGGUUCACGAAUCUUGGCUAAUGAUCAGAAGCAACGAGUAAGACUCAUCCCGGUGAAGCUAGCUGUACCUACUUCUCUGGCAAAAGCUGAUGCAACUCAGGUUAUCAGUGCUGGUCAAUCUGUUUCUGAUGAUAUGCCUUUUGUUGAGAAUGCUGGGAUGUCUCUUUGCAUGGAAUCAAAAGCAUGGCUGAAGAAUGGGGAACAGAUACUCUUACUGGGGCAAAGAAUUUAAGAAUUCAGCCUGAAAGCUUAAGUAUUGGCUGCAUAAAGCUCCUCAGCCACACAACUUACAUAUGUGUUUUUCUUCAGAAUAUGGUUAAGACUUAAGACCAAAGACCAAAUUAUACUGAUUAAUAUAUGGCAAACUUGUACACAAUGUAAGAA
Camelina sativa (false flax) is the source of this 1297-nucleotide non-coding RNA. Lineage: Eukaryota; Viridiplantae; Streptophyta; Magnoliopsida; Brassicales; Brassicaceae. The record is from RefSeq and is a predicted model, not a curated record.